This 4249-nucleotide long non-coding RNA is filed under the name Homo sapiens (human). RNAcentral describes it as "HSALNT0392054". The record is from RNAcentral. Lineage: Eukaryota; Metazoa; Chordata; Mammalia; Primates; Hominidae.
GGUGAUGGUGGUGGUACUGGAGGUGAUGGUGGUGGUGAAGGUGAUGGUAGAGGUAAUGGAAGUGAUGGUGGAGGUGAUAGAUAUUUGAACAUGCCUGACCUAAGAAAAGUUCAUUUUCAUUUUUGGCUGGGCACUAUGGCUGAUGCCUGUAACCCCAACUCUUUAGGAAGCCUAGGUGGAAGGGUGGCUUGAACCCAGGAGGUCAGGGCUGCAGUGAGCUAUGACUGUGCCACUGCACUCCAACCCAGGUGACGGAGCGAGACCCUGUCUCUUAAAAUAUUUUUUUUACAGUGCAUUUUCAUGUGUUUCAACCUCCUAGUGUCCCUGCCAAAAAUAUUUUAAUCUGAAUCAAAUCAUGGGGAAAUUAUGAGACAAAUCAGGUCAAAAGACAGUUUACAAAACAGUUGGCCUGAACUUUUCAAAACUGUCAACAUGUUAAAAGAAAAAAGAAAAAAAUGACCAGGGAACUCUUCUAGAAAAGAGAUGUGAUAAGUAAAUGCAGAAAAGAGACGUGAUAAGUAAGUACAGCGUGUGUCCCAGGAGGAUCUAGGAUCCAGUCAGGACAGGAGCUGGAGCACGAGAGGAACGGGGGUGGAGACCACUUCCUGGGGGCAGAGUGUCCUCCUCUCCACGUUGCACGUCCUGAGUGGGAAACCUGCACUGGAGUUGCACAGGGAAGGGCUAGGGUCUUAGGAGACCCUGCCCAGGUAUGUAGUGGCAAGGUGCCAUGAUGCCUGCAACUUACUUUCCAACGGUUUGGGAGAGAAAAUGCUCAUUUGUGCAGAGUCCGAAGAGGGAGCACAGAGGAGAGAGGAAGAGUGAAAGCAGCUGUGUGAAGCGUGAAUCGCACAGGACUGGAGUUGAAUGAAUGUGGGUGGUGGUGUGCUAUUCUUGCGACCUUUUUGAAAGUUCAAAAAUUUUCAAAGUAUAACAUGAGAGAUAAGUCCUUUCAGAAUAAAAAGCCGGUUGUGCAGUAGGAGGACCAGUAGUGGCCCCUGGUUGGGUCUCUGAUUCUAGAAAGCCAACCUGGGCUGCUGUGACCGGCCACUAGCAUGGCUGACUGUUGAUGAAGGUUGGGGAGAGCCCUGGUGUUCGCGGAGUCCCGCGCUCUCUGUAUUGCCGUAAUGCUCUGUCUUUCUCCUUUCAUGGGAGUGUGCCGUGGCAUUUAGUCGUGAGAGUGGGUGUGACCUGUGUGCGGGUUUUGCAGGUCUGGAGGCGGCUGGUGGAAAUCCAAUUCCCCGCGGAGCAUGGCUGGAAGGAGUCGUUGCUGGGAGACAUGGAAUGGAGGCUCACAAAGGUACCAAAAGUUUGGGGGCAGUCUUUUCAGGGCGUGAAGGCAAGCUGGAGAACCCCAGACCAUUAGCGACAGCCAAGAGAUCUCAGCAGUGCCUCUCUGUGGGCAGGGAUGGGGUGAAUCACAGCUCCGUGUUUCUGUUUCUGAUCCAGCCCUUAUAGUCUGUCCCUAGAAGAGCGCUUCGGAGUCUUACUGAGAGGACAGAGAAGAACAAGGGCCCAGGAUCUCACCAUCAUGGGGGUGCGGGAUUUUUCCUGACCCCUUCGUUGGACUUGCGACAGGGAUGCUGUGUUUACUUGGCCCGCCGUGCUCAACCCCUUGUGGGAGGGAGCACGUGAGUGAGUGUGGCAUCUGGCCAGCUGCUUUGGGAGCUGGCAGGAGCAAGCUCCGUGCAGGCCCUGCAGCAGUGCCCAGAUUGAGGUGCCUGCAACCCCCGAAGCUCCAGAGGGCAUGUUACAGUGCUCUCUUAGCUCCGCCGUCUAUGGACAGUAGUGUGUUAUCAGCUCAGUGGGUCCCUUGCCUUGUUGCCUAGGGUGGCUGCCCUCUGCCAGGGCCAAUGUGACAGCCUCUUUUAGGUACCCACACUCGGUGGGUCCCAAGCUCUUGUCCAGCAUCCAAGAAGAAUGGGGUCACCCGGACACUUGAAGGAUGGUGAAGGUGGAGAAUUUUAUUAAGCAAUGGAAAUGGCUCUCCAUGGAGAGGGGAGCUGGAGAGGGGAUGGGUCAGGUGGGGAAUCUUCCUCUGGUCCAGGUGUCUGGCUGGCUCUUCCCUGAAGUCAGGACGUCUUUCCGAAGUUAAACCGUCUCUCCUUGGAAGUCCAGCCAUCCCUCUGAAGUCAAGUCACCUGUUUCCAGUGAAGCUACUUCUCUCUCACUACCAAGUCUGGGGUCUUUAUAGGCACAAGAUAGGGGGCAGGGUGGGCCCUAGGUAGUUUUGGAAAAAGCAACAUUCUAUUGGUAAAAAGACAUUACUCCGAAAGAACCAGUGGGGAGAGAGUAGGCACACGGGGAUAGAGGUUCUCACUUUGGGCCAUGGGUUUCAGGCUUUUCGGCUCGAAGGUGGGGUUUUGCCAGGGACCCGCCCCUGUCUGCGUAGGAUUUCUCUGCCUCCUGCCUCCAUCAAUGGGGCCCCAGGCACAGGAGGGGCCAGGCCUGCCCAUAGGCAGGAAGUCUAAGUGGCCUGUUGGUGACAGGAACCUCAUGACACACAAGUGGAGAACACACAGACAUGCCCCUCAUGCUGAAUUAAGGCCUGAGGCUCAAGGAAAAUUAGUUUUUAUGUGAUAUGAGAGUUUUAUAUGUAACUUUUUUUUUUUUUGAGACGGGGUCUCGCUCUAUCGCCCAGGCUGGAGUGCAGUGGCGGGAUCUCGGCUCACUGCAAACUCCGCCUCCCGGGUUCACGCCAUUCUCCUGCCUCAGCCUCCCGAGUAGCUGGGACUACAGGCGCCCGCCACCGCGCCCAGCUAUAUUUUUGUAUUUUUUGUAGAGACGGGGUUUCACCGUGUUAGCCAGGAUGGUCUCGAUCUCCUGACCUCGUGAUCCACCCGCCUCAGCCUCCCAAAGUGCUGGGAUGACAGGCGUGAGCCACCGCGCCCGGCCUAUAUGUAACUGUUAAAUGGAUCUUUAAAGGGAAAAGUCAGAAACAAGGAAAAAUGACCUAUGUCUCAUAACUUACCUGUUUUUGCAAGCCAGGUGCUUUUUCUGCAGAGUGGGAAAAGAGACUCUUUUAAAUUUUAGCCUUUGGUCUACUGGUGGGGGGCAGGGAGGACAUGCUUUGCGUGGGCCAGGAGAAGCUUAAAAUUGGGGGAAACAGUAAAACAGCAGGAAAGUAAAAAUGAUGAAAGAAUUUUCAUCCCAUAGAGCACUGGAGCGCUGCAUCCGAAAGCUCUGAAACCACCCCCCUUUGAUUUUUGCAGGAGGAACCCCUCUCCCAGAUCACUGCCUACUGCAAUAGUUGCUGGGACACCAAAGGCUUAGAGGACAGUGUGGCCAAGACCUUCGAGAAAUGCAUCAUUGAAGCCGUGAGCUCAGCCUGCCAGGUGAACAAUCUCUCCUCCUGGGAAACGGAUUCGGGCUCACAGCUGUGUUCUGCCAUGACCCAGCUAAGGGCUAUGAAGCACCCGCUGGGUCUCAGCUCCUCCGCUAACUCAGAGAUUGGGAAGUGGGCACCCUCCUCCCUCGCCAAGGGCAAUGGCGCUGAAAUCUAGUUCUCUCCGGAUUCCUCAGUGUGCUGCACAGUCCCUGCUGCUCGCACCAUCCUGCAUGUGUUCCAUAUGGAAUCACGGCCGUGCGCGUGUGGCACAAGUCACACGGGCUUGCAGGCCGUUCCUCAGAUGGCCCUGUCAUCACUGUGGCUGCUGGUUUGAUUGAUUGUUAACACUUGCUCAGUAGGUGUGCGGGAAGAGACUCCAAAGGUUGACAGAACAUUUAUGGAAGCAAAAUAUGUGAAAUGGAAAAUUGUAUCAAUUUAUUUAGCUCUUUUCGGCAAAGGGGAAGAGAUUGUGCCCCCCUGUCUCCCAGGAACAGUCUCGCAGGCAAUGCCACAUGAGGAAGCUCCCUGCUGGCCACGGCUGCCCUGCUCACAUUUCCUAAUUGGACACUUAACCCCUGUACAAGCACAGCCUUGCGGCCACAGGGGAAGUCCAGAAACAUUGAGGUCAUUGAAUUCCGGGGACCAAGGGGUUCUAAUUUUUUAAGUGACUGAUACCUUUGAUAAGGUUUUCCUUUCCCUUUUUCGUUAACUCUUUGUUGAGAUAUUGUUCGUAUGCCAUACGGUACAUCUGUCAAAAGUUCCAGUUCAGCAGGUUUUGGGGUAGUCACAGAUAUGUACAGUCAUCACCACAGUUAAUGACAGAGCAUUUUCAUCACUUCAAAGAGAAACCCGGCCCCUUUAGCCAUCAUCCUCCUCCCCUCUAGUCACCCACUCCCCUCUGCAGGCAUAAACAAUUGCUGAACA